CACUGGAAAUAUGAUUGGCUGCCUGAAUGAAACUGAGAUUAGUAGAGGAGGAAGGAGUGUCCACAAGACUGGAUGCAAGGGAAAGAGGUAAAGAAGGGGCAUACCAAGAGGAAGUAAUGAGAGAUGAGGAGGAAGGGCCAGAAUUGGAGGAUUGAGCAGGAAACAAAGUUGAAUAAGGGAAGUGAGAUUCAUGGAACACAACAUCUUUAGAGAUGUAAAUAU
Molecule: long non-coding RNA, 222 nt
Filed under: Lathyrus oleraceus (garden pea)
Lineage: Eukaryota; Viridiplantae; Streptophyta; Magnoliopsida; Fabales; Fabaceae
Description: Pisum sativum (pea) long non-coding RNA (PSAT_LNC030059)
Source: RNAcentral